RNAcentral lists this ribosomal RNA (496 nucleotides) under uncultured bacterium. RNAcentral's name for it is "partial 16S ribosomal RNA". It matches the Rfam family "Bacterial small subunit ribosomal RNA", at positions 28 to 506 of the family's 1533-position model. The record is from RNAcentral.
GAUGAACGCUGGCGGCGUGCCUAAUACAUGCAAGUCGAGCGAACAGACGAGGAGCUUGCUCCUCUGACGUUAGCGGCGGACGGGUGAGUAACACGUGGAUAACCUACCUAUAAGACUGGGAUAACUUCGGGAAGCCGGAGCUAAUACCGGAUAAUAUAUUGAACCGCAUGGUUCAAUAGUGAAAGACGGUUUUGCUGUCACUUAUAGAUGGAUCCGCGCCGCAUUAGCUAGUUGGUAAGGUAACGGCUUACCAAGGCGACGAUGCGUAGCCGACCUGAGAGGGGGUCCGGCCACCCGGGAACUGGAACAGGGUCCAACCCCCUAGGGGGGGACGCGGAGGGAAUUUUUCCCAAAUGGGGAAAACCCGGAGGGGCAAACCCCGGGUGGUGAAGAAGGGUUUUGGAGUCGAAAACCUCUUUUUUUAGGAAAAAAAAAAUGGUAAAUAAAUUUGCCCCUUUUGAACGGUACCAAUUCAAAAGGCCACGGCAAACCACUU